UAAAAAAAAUCAUUUUACACAAAAGUAUAUUAUAUAAAUAUAAAAAUAUUAAUUAAAAAAUUAAAAAAAAUCAAAUUUCGACCGCAUGAGGUCAAAAUAAUUAAGUCAAAGUUGGUCAAAUCUGACUUAAUUUUUUCGACCAUAUGCGGUGGAAAAAGUUCAAUGAAAAGUACACCCACACAAAUAUUUCAUCUUCCCCCCAAAACUCUCCUCUUUCUUGAAAAAAAACACUUUACCCUCUAAACUCAUUUCCCCAAAAAUGCCGCCACCCCACCACCGUAUCUCUGUUGCAAAAUGAAUUUGCAACUCAAGAAAUCUGAUACAACAGUAAAGAGAACAAGAGAAAGCUAAAACUAGAAAGAGAAGAGAAAAAGAAUAAGAAGCACAAAGUAAUCUUUCUUAAAGCUGCUCAAAUCAAAAUUGCAACAAUCUCUGGCCACCCACUACCACCGGCAUUCUCCAAGUAGGCGACGCCCUCCAGUUAAAUCACCGGAGUAGCCACCAGCCGCCGCCGACUGAACAGUGAGCUAGAAGCAGCUGAAAUUCCAUAUUCAGAUCAUCAACCAGUUGUUGGAAUUCUCCCCCAAGGUUGUCAAUUGCCGGAGUUAAGGGAGAUUUGCUAGAUACAAGAAAGUAGCAGCACAGAUGGCGGGUGAUAAUAGGGGUAAGGCUAUUGCUAAAGCCUCGAAAAAGUCAAAGAAGAAGAAGGGUCCGUUUAUACCAUCAGAGGGCGUAGUGCCAGGAACCCUUAGGAUUCCUGGUAGAGAUCGAUCUCCUCCCCCAUAUAUCCUGGGGAUGCUCGUAGGUCACAGCCUACCCAUCCCCCCGACCUUCCCAUGGUAGAUGACGUAUGUCACAGGACAACGUAGUUCAUGGUCUUGUGGAUGAGGAUAGUGAGAAGGAUUCGGAUCAUGUCUCCAACACGCAACGUUGACUUUUUUGAUUCGUAUACUUUUGGAUUCUAAUUUUCCUAUGUUUUCUUGGAUAUGAAUAUGAUAUUUAAGUGUUUGAAUGUAGUUUUAAUUCGAAUUAGAAGUACUUUAAAGGUGAAUUUGAUUGUAGAAUGUAGUUUAUGGUUGUUUAAGUUUAUGAUGUUUAAGUGUUUCAAUCUAGUUGUAAUUUGAAUUAGAAGUAUUUUAAAUUGAAAUUUGAGGUUGAAUUUGAUUGUAGAAUGUUGUAGUUUAUGAGUGUAGAAGUACUUUGAUGAA
This is a long non-coding RNA of Lycium ferocissimum, 1208 nucleotides long. RefSeq lists it as uncharacterized. The transcript is spliced from 4 exons. Lineage: Eukaryota; Viridiplantae; Streptophyta; Magnoliopsida; Solanales; Solanaceae. The record is from RefSeq and is a predicted model, not a curated record.